This 451-nucleotide ribosomal RNA is filed under the name Streptococcus parasanguinis. Its description in RNAcentral is "bacterial SSU rRNA". It matches the Rfam family "Bacterial small subunit ribosomal RNA", at positions 28 to 471 of the family's 1533-position model. The record is from RNAcentral. Lineage: Bacteria; Bacillati; Bacillota; Bacilli; Lactobacillales; Streptococcaceae.
GAUGAACGCGGCGGCGUGCCUAAUACAUGCAAGUAGAACGCUGAAGCUUGGUGCUUGCACCGAGCGGAUGAGUUGCGAACGGGUGAGUAACGCGUAGGUAACCUGCCUCUUAGCGGGGGAUAACUAUUGGAAACGAUAGCUAAUACCGCAUAAAAGUCGAUAUCGCAUGAUAUUGAUUUGAAAGGUGCAAGUGCAUCACUAAGAGAUGGACCUGCGUUGUAUUAGCUAGUUGGUGAGGUAACGGCUCACCAAGGCGACGAUACAUAGCCGACCUGAGAGGGUGAUCGGCCACACUGGGACUGAGACACGGCCCAGACUCCUACGGGAGGCAGCAGUAGGGAAUCUUCGGCAAUGGGGGCAACCCUGACCGAGCAACGCCGCGUGAGUGAAGAAGGUUUUCGGAUCGUAAAGCUCUGUUGUAAGAGAAGAAACGAGUGUGAGAAGUGGAAAG